UUAGCUAGUUGGUGGGGUAACGGCUCACCAAGGCGACGAUCCGUAGCUGGUUUGAGAGGACGACCAGCCACACUGGGACUGAGACACGGCCCAGACUCCUACGGGAGGCAGCAGUGGGGAAUUUUGGACAAUGGGGGAAACCCUGAUCCAGCCAUCCCGCGUGUGCGAUGAAGGCCUUCGGGUUGUAAAGCACUUUUGGCAGGAAAGAAACGUCGUGGGUUAAUACCCCGCGAAACUGACGGUACCUGCAGAAUAAGCACCGGCUAACUACGUGCCAGCAGCCGCGGUAAUACGUAGGGUGCAAGCGUUAAUCGGAAUUACUGGGCGUAAAGCGUGCGCAGGCGGUUCGGAAAGAAAGAUGUGAAAUCCCAGAGCUUAACUUUGGAACUGCAUUUUUAACUACCGGGCUAGAGUGUGUCAGAGGGAGGUGGAAUUCCGCGUGUAGCAGUGAAAUGCGUAGAUAUGCGGAGGAACACCGAUGGCGAAGGCAGC
This 492-nucleotide ribosomal RNA is filed under the name Achromobacter xylosoxidans. Its description in RNAcentral is "bacterial SSU rRNA". It matches the Rfam family "Bacterial small subunit ribosomal RNA", at positions 241 to 725 of the family's 1533-position model. Lineage: Bacteria; Pseudomonadati; Pseudomonadota; Betaproteobacteria; Burkholderiales; Alcaligenaceae. The record is from RNAcentral.